RNAcentral lists this ribosomal RNA (975 nucleotides) under Triticum aestivum (bread wheat). RNAcentral describes it as "partial small subunit ribosomal RNA". Lineage: Eukaryota; Viridiplantae; Streptophyta; Magnoliopsida; Poales; Poaceae. The record is from RNAcentral.
AUGGACGACGCCAAGCCACGGCACCUUGGCGGCUCGCUGCCCGUGCCCAACGUGCAGGACCUCGCCGCCCGGCGUGACGAGCUCACGCUCACGCCCACCCUCCUCGACCGCUACGUGCGGCCUCAGCCCAACACGGUCGACCUGCGUCCCGACGCCCCUGCCGGCGAAGAACAGGAGCAGGUCCCCAUCGUCGACCUCGGCCGGCUCCUCGACCUCGCCGGCGGAGGGGAGGAGGAGGCCGCCAGGCUGCGGUCGGCCUGCGAGAAGUGGGGCUUCUUCCAGGUGGUGAACCACGGGAUACCCGAGGAGACCGUGGAGGAGAUGAAGAGGAACGUCAUGGGAUUCUUCGCGCUCCCGCUGGCGGAGAAGGCGGCCCUCGCGCAGGAGCCCGGAGAGAUCGAGGGGAAUUGUUUGGCGAACUACUCAGUGGAGGUGCAAAGGGUAGCAGGCGAGCUGCUGCGAGCCAUGGCGGAGAACCUGGGCGUGAGGGACCACUCGGACAUGACGAGGCUGGCCGCGUCGCAGGCGGUGAGGAUGAACUACUACCCGCCUUGCCCGGAGGCGCACGUGGACAGGGUGCUGGGCCUCUCACCGCACUCGGAUGCCGUCGCGCUGACGCUGCUGCUGCAGGUCUGCCCAGUCCCCGGGCUGCAGAUCAAUAGGAACGCCGGCUGGGUCCCGGUCAUGCCGCUCCCCAGUGCCCUCGUCGUCAACGUCGGCGAUGUGGUUGAGGUGCUGACCAACGGGAAGUACAAGAGCGUCGAGCACAGGGCGGUGGAUAACGCACGCGAGCAUCGGAUGUCCAUCACGGCGUUCCAUAGCGCCAAGUUCGGCGGCACGUACGGGCCGCUGGAGGAGGUCGUGGGAGACGAGGAGGCCCGGUACAGGACUAUCAACGUCAAUGAGUACACCAAGCUUAUGCUCUCCGGCAAGCUAGACGGUAAGAACAUCAUAGACGCAAUGAAGAUCAAUUGA